Molecule: ribosomal RNA, 495 nt
Filed under: Escherichia coli
Lineage: Bacteria; Pseudomonadati; Pseudomonadota; Gammaproteobacteria; Enterobacterales; Enterobacteriaceae
Description: partial 23S ribosomal RNA
Rfam family: Bacterial large subunit ribosomal RNA
Source: RNAcentral
GAUGAGUAGGGCGGGACACGUGGUAUCCUGUCUGAAUAUGGGGGGACCAUCCUCCAAGGCUAAAUACUCCUGACUGACCGAUAGUGAACCAGUACCGUGAGGGAAAGGCGAAAAGAACCCCGGCGAGGGGAGUGAAAAAGAACCUGAAACCGUGUACGUACAAGCAGUGGGAGCCUCUUUAUGGGGUGACUGCGUACCUUUUGUAUAAUGGGUCAGCGACUUAUAUUCUGUAGCAAGGUUAACCGAAUAGGGGAGCCGAAGGGAAACCGAGUCUUAACUGGGCGUUAAGUUGCAGGGUAUAGACCCGAAACCCGGUGAUCUAGCCAUGGGCAGGUUGAAGGUUGGGUAACACUAACUGGAGGACCGAACCGACUAAUGUUGAAAAAUUAGCGGAUGACUUGUGGCUGGGGGUGAAAGGCCAAUCAAACCGGGAGAUAGCUGGUUCUCCCCGAAAGCUAUUUAGGUAGCGCCUCGUGAAUUCAUCUCCGGGGGUAG